AUACGUAUGGGGCGAGCGUUGUCCGGAAUGAUUGGGCGUAAAGGGUACGUAGGCGGUUAAUUAAGUCGAGUGUGAAAGGUUGGGGCUCAACCCCAUAAAGCAUUCGAAACUGGUUAACUUGAGAUGUGGAGAGGAAAGUGGAAUUCCUAGUGUAGCGGUGACAUGCGUAGAUAUUAGGAGGAAUACCAGUAGCGAAGGCGACUUUCGGGACACAUACUGACGCUGAGGUACGAAAGCGGGGGGAGCAAACAGGAUUAGAUACCCUGGUAGUCCACGCCGUAAACGAUGAAUGCUAGGUGUCGGGGGUCAAACCUCGGUGCCGCCGCUAACGCAUUAAGCAUUCCGCCUGGGGAGUACGCACGCAAGUGUGAAACUCAAAGGAAUUGACGGGG
RNAcentral lists this ribosomal RNA (392 nucleotides) under uncultured bacterium. RNAcentral's name for it is "partial 16S ribosomal RNA". It matches the Rfam family "Bacterial small subunit ribosomal RNA", at positions 523 to 918 of the family's 1533-position model. The record is from RNAcentral.